GACGCAAUCCGCCUGCGCGCUGGGCGGGGCGGGGUGUGAGCCGACCGCGGGCGCUGGGCGGGUCCGCGGCGCGGUCGGUCGGCGCCUAUUCUCGGGCUGUUUGGCGGACGAAGCUUCACAAAAGAUGUCUAAGGUGAAUCAGGUCUAGGAAAAUCGACUCUCAUAAACAGCCUAUUCCUAACUGAUCUGUACCCAGAAAGAGUCAUACCUGGAGCAGCAGAAAAAAUUGAAAGAACCGUCCAGAUUGAGGCUUCAACUGUUGAAAUUGAAGAGCGAGGGGUCAAGCUACGCCUGACAGUGGUAGAUACCCCUGGCUAUGGUGACGCUAUCAACUGCAGAGAUUGUCACGUUCCUGAAAAGAAUUGGCAGCCCUGGCCGGGUGCGAUGGCUCACGCCUGUAAUCCCAGCACUUUGGGAGGCUGAGGUGGGCUGAUCACAAGGUCAGGAGUUCAAGACCAGCCUGGCCAACAUGGUGAAACCCUGUCU
This 486-nucleotide small RNA is filed under the name Pan troglodytes (chimpanzee). Its description in RNAcentral is "processed transcript". Lineage: Eukaryota; Metazoa; Chordata; Mammalia; Primates; Hominidae. The record is from RNAcentral.